UAAGGGGUUACCUGCGGAGGGAUCAUUA
RNAcentral lists this ribosomal RNA (28 nucleotides) under Fulvia fulva. RNAcentral describes it as "Passalora fulva partial 18S ribosomal RNA". The record is from RNAcentral. Lineage: Eukaryota; Fungi; Ascomycota; Dothideomycetes; Mycosphaerellales; Mycosphaerellaceae.